The sequence is a small nuclear RNA, 164 nucleotides long. Its record names the gene U1. It matches the Rfam family "U1 spliceosomal RNA". From Rfam's summary of the family: U1 is a small nuclear RNA (snRNA) component of the spliceosome (involved in pre-mRNA splicing). Its 5' end forms complementary base pairs with the 5' splice junction, thus defining the 5' donor site of an intron. There are significant differences in sequence and secondary structure between metazoan and yeast U1 snRNAs, the latter being much longer (568 nucleotides as compared to 164 nucleotides in human). The record is from Ensembl.
AUACUUACCUGGCAGGGGAGAUACCAUGAUCACGAAGGUGGUUUUCCCAGGGCGAGGCUCACCCAUUGCACUCCGGGUGUGCUGACCCCUGCGAUUUCCCCAAAUGUGGGAAACUCGACUGCAUAAUUUGUGGUAGUGGGGGACUGCGUUCGCGCUUUCCCCUG